CCCUUAGAUGUUCUGGGCUGCACGCGCGCUACACUGAUGCGCUCAACGAGUUUUAACCUUGCCUGGAAAGGUUGGGUAAUCUUUUUAAAACGCAUCGUGAUGGGGAUAGAUUAUUGCAAUUAUUAAUCUUCAACGAGGAAUUCCUAGUAAGCGCGAGUCAUCAGCUCGUGCUGAUUACGUCCCUGCCCUUUGUACACACCGCCCGUCGCUCCUACCGAUUGAGUGGUUUAGUGAGGACUCCUGAUUGGCGCCGCCGCCCCGGCAACGGAGCAGCGGACUGCCGAAAAGUUGUUCAAACUUGAUCAUUUAGAGGAAGUAAAAGUCGUAACA
This 330-nucleotide ribosomal RNA is filed under the name uncultured eukaryote. RNAcentral's name for it is "partial 18S ribosomal RNA". It matches the Rfam family "Eukaryotic small subunit ribosomal RNA", at positions 1470 to 1796 of the family's 1831-position model. The record is from RNAcentral.